CCUACGGGAGGCAGCAGUGGGGGAUAUUGCACAAUGGGGGAAACCCUGAUGCAGCGACGCCGCGUGUGGGAAGAAGGUCCUCUGGAUUGUAAACCACUGUCCCCAGGGACGAAGAUGACGGUACCUGGGGAGGAAGCUCCGGCUAACUACGUGCCAGCAGCCUCGGUAAUAGGUAGGGAGCGAGCGUUGUCCGGAAUUACUGGGGGUAAAGGGAGCGUAGGCGGGGAUGCAAGUUGGGGGUCAAAACUACCGGCUCAACUAGGAGUCGCACUCAAAACUGCAGGGCUUGAGUGAAGUAGAGGCAGGCGGAAUUCCUAGUGUAGCGGUGAAAUGCGUAGAUAUUAGGAGGAACACCAGUGGCGAAGGCGGCCUGCUGGGCUUUUACUGACGCUGAGGCUCGAAAGUGUGGGGAGCAAACAGGAUUAGAUACCCUGGUAGUC
RNAcentral lists this ribosomal RNA (440 nucleotides) under uncultured bacterium. RNAcentral's name for it is "partial 16S ribosomal RNA". It matches the Rfam family "Bacterial small subunit ribosomal RNA", at positions 338 to 795 of the family's 1533-position model. The record is from RNAcentral.